This 253-nucleotide ribosomal RNA is filed under the name uncultured bacterium. RNAcentral describes it as "partial 16S ribosomal RNA". It matches the Rfam family "Bacterial small subunit ribosomal RNA", at positions 524 to 776 of the family's 1533-position model. The record is from RNAcentral.
UACGUAGGGAGCAAGCGUUGUCCGGAAUCAUUGGGCGUAAAGCGCGCGUAGGUGGCCCGGUAAGUCCGCUCUGAAAGUCAAAGGCUCAACCUUUGAAAGCGGGUGGAUACUGCCGGGCUAGAGUCCGGAAGAGGCGAGUGGAAUUCCCGGUGUAGCGGUGAAAUGCGCAGAUAUCAGGAGGAACACCAAUGGCGAAGGCAGCUCGCUGGAACGGUACUGACGCUGAGGCGCGAAAGCGUGGGGAGCAAACAGG